This is a long non-coding RNA of Schistocerca cancellata (South American locust), 357 nucleotides long. RefSeq lists it as uncharacterized. The record is from RefSeq and is a predicted model, not a curated record. The transcript is spliced from 3 exons. Lineage: Eukaryota; Metazoa; Arthropoda; Insecta; Orthoptera; Acrididae.
AAUUGCACAGCCUACCAUUUCAAAAGUUAUUGUGGAUGUAUGCACUGCAAUUUGCGAAACUUUAAAGGACCAAUACUUAAAGGCACCAUCAACAGAAGAAGAGUGGAAUAAAAUUGCCAAAGAAUUUGAUGAACUGUGGCAGUUCCCAAACUGCAUUGGUGCAAUGGAUGGGAAACACAUAGCAUUUGCCCCACCAUGAACUGCUGGCUCAACAUACUUCAAUUAUAAAAAGUUCCACAGUGUUGUUUUACUAGCUAUUGUGGACGCUAGGUACCGAUUCUCUUUGAUUGACAUUGGGUGCAAUGGAAGAGUGAGUGAUGGUGGGGUGUAUGCAAACAGCCUGAUAAGCAGUGCACU